Molecule: ribosomal RNA, 497 nt
Filed under: uncultured bacterium
Lineage: Bacteria
Description: partial 16S ribosomal RNA
Rfam family: Bacterial small subunit ribosomal RNA
Source: RNAcentral
GAUGAACGCUGGCGGCGUGCCUAAUACAUGCAAGUCGAGCGAACGGACGCGAAGCUUGCUUUUCUGAUGUUAGCGGCGGACGGGUGAGUAACAUGUGGAUAACCUACCUAUAAGACUGGGAUCACCUCGGGAAACCGGAGCUAAUACCGGAUAAUAUUUUGAACCGCAUGGUUCAAAAGUGAAAGACGGUCUUGCUGUCACUUAUAGAUGGAUCCGCGCUGCAUUAGCUAGUUGGUAAGGUAACGGCUUACCAAGGCAACGAUGCAUAGCCGACCUGAGAGAGUGAUCGGCCGCACUGGAACUGAGACACGGUCCAGACUCCUACGGGAGGCAGCAGUAGGGAAUCUUACGCAAUGGGCGAAAGCCUGACGGAGCAACGCCACGUGAGUGAUGAAGGUCUUCGGAUCGUAAAACUCUGUUAUUAGGGGAGAACAUAUGUGUAAGUAACUGUGCACAUCUUGACGGUACCUAAUCAGAAAGCCACGGCUAACUACGUG